This 127-nucleotide ribosomal RNA is filed under the name uncultured bacterium. RNAcentral describes it as "partial 16S ribosomal RNA". The record is from RNAcentral.
UUAGCCGGGGCUUCCUCCUCAAGUACCGUCAUUAUCUUCCUUGAGGACAGAGCUUUACGACCCGAAGGCCUUCAUCGCUCACGCGGCGUUGCUGCAUCAGGCUUUCGCCCAUUGUGCAAUAUUCCCC